RNAcentral lists this ribosomal RNA (433 nucleotides) under uncultured bacterium. RNAcentral describes it as "partial 16S ribosomal RNA". It matches the Rfam family "Bacterial small subunit ribosomal RNA", at positions 29 to 507 of the family's 1533-position model. The record is from RNAcentral.
AACGAACGCUGGCGGCAGGCUUAACACAUGCAAGUCGAGCGCAUCCUUCGGGGUGAGCGGCGGACGGGUGAGUAACGCGUGGGAACGUGACCUCUUCUACGGAAUAGCCUCGGGAAACUGAGAGUAAUGCCGUAUACGCCCGCAAGGGGAAAGAUUUAUCGGAGGAGGAUCGGCCCGCGUUGGAUUAGGUAGUUGGUGGGGUAACGGCCUACCAAGCCGACGAUCCAUAGCUGGUUUGAGAGGAUGAUCAGCCACACUGGGACUGAGACACGGCCCAGACUCCUACGGGAGGCAGCAGUGGGGAAUCUUGGACAAUGGGGGCAACCCUGAUCCAGCCAUGCCGCGUGAUCGAUGAAGGCCUUAGGGUUGUAAAGAUCUUUCAGCUGGGAAGAUAAUGACGGUACCAGCAGAAGAAGCCCCGGCUAACUCCGUG